GAAAUGCGAUAAGUAAUGUGAAUUGCAGAAUUCAGUGAAUCAUCGAAUCUUUGAACGCACAUUGCGCCCGCCAGUACUCUGGCGGGCAUGCCUGUUCGAGCGUCAUUUCAACCCUCAAGCCCUGCUUGGUGUUGGGGUCCUACGGCUGCCGUAGGCCCUGAAAGCUAGUGGCGGGCUCGCUACAACUCCGAGCGCAGUAAUGUAUCUCGCUAGGGAAGUGUUGCGGGUUCCGGCCGUUAAACCCCCCAAUUUUACAAGGUUGACCUCGGAUCAGGUAGGAAUACCCGCUGAACUUAA
This 297-nucleotide unclassified non-coding RNA is filed under the name uncultured Ascomycota. RNAcentral describes it as "sequence contains ITS1". The stretch from base 1 to 105 matches the Rfam family "5.8S ribosomal RNA", at positions 50 to 154 of the family's 154-position model. Lineage: Eukaryota; Fungi; Ascomycota. The record is from RNAcentral.